This 484-nucleotide ribosomal RNA is filed under the name uncultured bacterium. RNAcentral's name for it is "partial 16S ribosomal RNA". It matches the Rfam family "Bacterial small subunit ribosomal RNA", at positions 30 to 507 of the family's 1533-position model. The record is from RNAcentral.
AUUGAACGCUGGCGGCAGGCCUAACACAUGCAAGUCGAGCGGAUGAAGGGAGCUUGCUCCUGGAUUCAGCGGCGGACGGGUGAGUAAUGCCUAGGAAUCUGCCUGGUAGUGGGGGAUAACGUCCGGAAACGGGCGCUAAUACCGCAUACGUCCUGAGGGAGAAGGUGGGGGAGCUUCGGACCUCACGCUAUCAGAUGAGCCUAGGUCGGAUUAGCUAGUUGGUGGGGUAAAGGCCUACCAAGGCGACGAUCCGUAACUGGUCUGAGAGGAUGACCAGUCACCCUGGAACCGAGACACGGGCCAGAGCCCCACGGGGGGGCACAGUGGGGAAUAUUGGGCAAUGGGGGCAAACCCUAUGCAGCCAUGGCGCGUGUAUGGAAGAAGGUCUCCGGUUGUUAAGUACUUUUAGGUGGGAGGAAGGGAAUGUAGUUUAAACCUUGGCUGUUUGACGUUAACCAAAGAAAAAGCACCGGCUAACUUCGUG